AGAACGAACGCUGGCGGCAUGCCUAACACAUGCAAGUCGAACGAGACCUUCGGGUCUAGUGGCGCACGGGUGCGUAACGCGUGGGAAUCUGCCCUUGGGUUCGGAAUAACAGCGAGAAAUUGCUGCUAAUACCGGAUGAUGACGUAAGUCCAAAGAUUUAUCGCCCAAGGAUGAGCCCGCGUAGGAUUAGCUUGUUGGUGAGGUAAGAGCUCACCAAGGCGACGAUCCUUAGCUGGUCUGAGAGGAUGAUCAGCCACACUGGGACUGAGACACGGCCCAGACUCCGUACGGGAGGCAGCGAGUGGGGGAAUAUUGGACAAUGGGCGAAAGCUGAUCCAGCAAUGCCGCGUGAGUGAUGAGGUCCUUAGGGUUGUAAAA
Molecule: ribosomal RNA, 378 nt
Filed under: uncultured soil bacterium
Lineage: Bacteria
Description: bacterial SSU rRNA
Rfam family: Bacterial small subunit ribosomal RNA
Source: RNAcentral